This 254-nucleotide ribosomal RNA is filed under the name uncultured bacterium. RNAcentral's name for it is "partial 16S ribosomal RNA". It matches the Rfam family "Bacterial small subunit ribosomal RNA", at positions 524 to 776 of the family's 1533-position model. The record is from RNAcentral.
UACGUAGGGUGCGAGCGUUGUCCGGAAUUAUUGGGCGUAAAGAGCUCGUAGGCGGUGUGUCGCGUCGGCCGUGAAAACCUGGGGCUCAACUCUGGGCGUGCGGUCGAUACGGGCAUCACUUGAGUUCGGCAGGGGAGACUGGAAUUCCUGGUGUAGCGGUGAAAUGCGCAGAUAUCAGGAGGAACACCGGUGGCGAAGGCAGGUCUCUGGGCCAAAACUGACGCUGAGGAGCGAAAGCGUGGGGAGCGAACAGG